This 701-nucleotide ribosomal RNA is filed under the name Rahnella sp. 100-p8_D2. RNAcentral describes it as "bacterial SSU rRNA". It matches the Rfam family "Bacterial small subunit ribosomal RNA", at positions 75 to 773 of the family's 1533-position model. The record is from RNAcentral. RNAcentral also lists the same sequence under 2 other names. Lineage: Bacteria; Pseudomonadati; Pseudomonadota; Gammaproteobacteria; Enterobacterales; Yersiniaceae.
CUUGCUCUCUGGGUGACGAGCGGCGGACGGGUGAGUAAUGUCUGGGAAACUGCCUGAUGGAGGGGGAUAACUACUGGAAACGGUAGCUAAUACCGCAUGACCUCGCAAGAGCAAAGUGGGGGACCUUCGGGCCUCACGCCAUCGGAUGUGCCCAGAUGGGAUUAGCUAGUAGGUGGGGUAAUGGCUCACCUAGGCGACGAUCCCUAGCUGGUCUGAGAGGAUGACCAGCCACACUGGAACUGAGACACGGUCCAGACUCCUACGGGAGGCAGCAGUGGGGAAUAUUGCACAAUGGGCGCAAGCCUGAUGCAGCCAUGCCGCGUGUGUGAAGAAGGCCUUAGGGUUGUAAAGCACUUUCAGCGAGGAGGAAGGCGUUGCAGUUAAUAGCUGCAGCGAUUGACGUUACUCGCAGAAGAAGCACCGGCUAACUCCGUGCCAGCAGCCGCGGUAAUACGGAGGGUGCAAGCGUUAAUCGGAAUUACUGGGCGUAAAGCGCACGCAGGCGGUUUGUUAAGUCAGAUGUGAAAUCCCCGAGCUUAACUUGGGAACUGCAUUUGAAACUGGCAAGCUAGAGUCUUGUAGAGGGGGGUAGAAUUCCAGGUGUAGCGGUGAAAUGCGUAGAGAUCUGGAGGAAUACCGGUGGCGAAGGCGGCCCCCUGGACAAAGACUGACGCUCAGGUGCGAAAGCGUGGGGAGCAAAC